This 30-nucleotide non-coding RNA is filed under the name Rattus norvegicus (Norway rat). The record is from RNAcentral. Lineage: Eukaryota; Metazoa; Chordata; Mammalia; Rodentia; Muridae.
UGACAGAAUCAGUGCUUCUUAAAUUAUUGG